Hippocampus zosterae (dwarf seahorse) is the source of this 446-nucleotide long non-coding RNA. RefSeq lists it as uncharacterized. NCBI's taxonomy places the organism in Eukaryota, Metazoa, Chordata, Actinopteri, Syngnathiformes, Syngnathidae. The transcript is spliced from 3 exons. The record is from RefSeq and is a predicted model, not a curated record.
CCAGAAUUGUAACGUUGUUGUCACUUGUGUAGAAAUGAACUCACCGUGUCCCAGAAAUAAUGCUGAAGUCGGCGCAGCGCCUGACUUUCACCGCCAGCCCAUGGAAAAGCGGAGCGGGGGUCAUUCAAAGGCUCUGGAAAAAUAGGUCCGCCGCAGUAGGAAUAUCUCCCUCCUGUAGCCCACCAGGAAGAGGCUUGAGCCGGUCCGAGGUGGGCAACUCAGACCUAACUUGACUCUUGGAUUCCACUUCCUUCCUGAACUGAGUGUAAACAUCCGGCAGCCUGCCAAAACGGAGAUCGUCUCGGUGGUAGAGCGUGGACCCCCAGCAGGUGUGCACUUGGACCUUCAUGCAUGCGCACACGUCCUUGAUGCCUUUCUCCACGGUCAGCUCUUCAGAAGUGACCUGUGAUUGAAGUUGCAAUAUGAAUAAAUACGAUCAUGAUGUG